UAUAUAUAUAUAUAUAUAUAUAUAUAUAUAUCUUUGAUGUAAUUAAAUCAACAUUGCUACAAUAAUUGAUGAAGAUUCUUAAAUAUCUAAAAAUUCAAAAGAAAUAAUCAAACCCACAAAGACUUUGUUAUAAGAAGUAUCGAUAUCGAUGAAUUAAUAAUCCUUCUUCUUUAUACGAUACCAAUAACAUCUUUUUCUUAUUUCUCGUUAUAAAGAACAAUGGGAACAAACGAAAAAAAAAAGAAAUAUAUCUAGUGAUAAUAAGAAGAACGAUCGCGAACAAUAUAUUACUGCUUGAGGAAGUUUGAAAAUCCAAUAACUCUCGAUAGGACAAUAAUUUCCCGUAAGAAACAAGAGAAUUCUCACAUGAUUCGAGAAUUCACUCGGUGGGUAAUACGAUCGAAAGGAUUCUAAUUAGAUUAAACUCUCGCUAAAACUAUAAUUAUGCUCGAAUACGUAUCGUGAAUUUCGAAGAGAGAGAAAGAGAAAGAUAGAAAGACAGACAGACAGACAGAGAGAGAGAGAGAGAGAGAGAGAGAGAGAGAGAGAGAGAGAGAGAGAGAGAGAAAGAGAGAAUCAGAGCAACUAAUAGAGGCAAGAGAAGAAACUUAGCAAAUUGAAAGGCUGUGUACAACUUGCAUGAAUCGAUUCUUCCUUCGUUUAAAGAUAAAGAUAGUUCGUCGAUGUUUGUUUUUAAAGGAUCUAUCUAAAAAUUGAAAAAUGAAUAUCUAGAAAAAAAAAUGUAUAAAAUAAUAACAAUUGUAUAUGAAUAAUCGAUCGAUAGAAGAAAGAAGAAAAAGAGGAUAAAAAAAGGAAGAAAGAGAGAAAGAACAAGCGAUUCGUUCGAUACACGAGAAAACUAUAUACUCCAGAUAACUCUUGUCCUUCGAUCGAAUUUAAUUAAAGUGAGUGGGACCGAAUGAAAAACGUCUUAUCGGUGAUAUAACACGGUCCAUCAACAUCAACGAUACCUUUCUCUCACGAUCGGUUGUUUCGUUUUCGAGAAUGCACUUGUUCCAUUGUCUCUUUAUAUUUCUCUCGACACAUUGAUACAUUUAUUAGAUCGUACGUAUCCUUUACGAGAAGGUUCAAAAUAAAAGAAAAAAAAGAAAAAGAAAGUAAACGAGAGAUCGUAGCAUUGUAAAAAGGGACGACGUGUAAACCUAUACGUAUUUAUGUAUCGUUGAAUCUCUUGUGAUUCUUGAUAUUAGAUUGUUUUAUUUGUUGAGAGAGAAAGAGUAGAAGAGAUAAAAAAUAAUUGCACGUGAUAAUUUAAUCGAGUAAAUCUCUCGAUCUAUCAUAAUAAAAAGAAAAAAGAAAACAGAUUAUAUUUUUCUCUCAUUUACAAUUCCCAUUGAAUCCACGACUUCGAAAUAAAAUUUCGAUGAAAUGACAAAUUAUGUGUGUGUGUGUGUGUGUGUGUGUGUGUAUAUGUAGAUUGUAAUUUUGAAUUUGAUCGAAGACGAACGUUGGGACGUUUAACGAAAGAGGGUUGAAGAAUCAAUAAGAGUGACGGAGAAAUACGAGUACACAUCGAGUCGAACUAUCGUCGUGUAAUAUAGAAAGGAAAAAAAUAGAGAAAGAGAGAGGGAAAGAGGGAGAGAGGGAACGUGUGUAUGUACGUCUUAAAGGAUAUCUCAGUAAACAAAACAGUUUACAAAAAGGAAAGAACGAUAAGACACGCGACAGAAUAUUAUCUAUUUCCGACGACACAGACACGCGAUAAAGAUCGUCGUCUGUAAGUGUUCGUUGAUUAUUCCGCGUACGAUGUUGUUCAAAGUCAUUCUCGUGAUCAUAAUUUUACGAGUGAAUCUCGAUCACGGUUACAAAAUGUUCAAUGAGAUGCAAGAAAAUGUAAGAAAAUUUUGGAUCGAUGCUAUAUGUCGUACGCGAGUGACAAAGUUUGUAAAUCUUUAUGGGGUAUUAACGAACGAGUCACUUUAUCUCGAACAUUUUUUCAACGGUCUUGUACGUGGUAUAAAUGAAGAACAAUGCGAAAUUACGAUUUUUUUAAAGACAUACGCUAUUGGCGAUCCCCGGAAAGAAAUAAAACGUAACGAUAAAGUCGAUCUAUCCUUCGAUGGAAUAUCUUUGAAGGAUUCAUUAGAAACUACCGAGUUAAAAGUUGUCAACGACUUAGAUGAUAAAAUAAAAAGAAGAAAAGAAAAAGAAGGAAGUAUAGAAAGAAGGGUAAGAAACGAUUUCGACGUAUGGUCGUUGUACGUGAUACUGAUAAAGAACGAACGUUCGAUGGAGCGAAUUUUGAAUGGGGAAGAGUCAGCCAACUGGAUGUCUCGGCUACACUUCAUCGUAAUGAUAAUCCCAGAUGACGUAGAUACCUCCGUAGAUAAUAAAUACGACGUGACGAUCGAACGAACUUUAAAAAUACUUUGGUUACGACGUCAAAUUCUAAACGUUUUAGUUUUUCUACCCUUCGCGAAAAAUGGGACAAACUUGGCGUACACUUACGAUCCUUUCUUUCUAAAUAAGAACGAUGAGCGAGGUAAACUCGAAUCCAUUAACGUCGUCUCAAAAGAGGACAUAUUUCUAUGUUUGUCUCGGUUAACUCAUCGUCGUACGGACAAUAUGCACGGCUACAAAUUAAACGUAGGUCUAUUUCAACAAUUUCAAACUUUAAUGAAAAUGAGAGAUAAACCAUCGCCAGGCACGAUUUACGAAUAUUCCAGCGGAUAUAAUGGCUCGAAUGCGAUUAUCCUCGGUACGAUUGCUAAAUACAUGAACUUCACCGUGAACGAGAUUAAUCCGAGAGAUCAAAUUAAAUACGGACACGAAUUAUCGAAUGGCACUUACGUUGGAACCUUGGGUGACAUUGUCUACGGUAGAGCGGAAGUAACUUUUGCGUCUUUCUUCGUGAAAACCUAUGGCAAAAGUAAUAAUAAUUUCGAAUUUACUAUCCAGACGGGAUACGACAGCAUCUGCGUGUUCGUACCGAAAGCACGCAAAAUACCGAAGUGGCUUCGAAUACAUCACAUGUUUGAACCGUCUAUUUGGCUUUGUUCGAUAAUUUCACCAAUUAUGGUCUACCUGAUGUGCUACGUACUACUGUUAUUUACGAGAAGAAAAAUUUACAGUCACGCAAAACUCGCCUACAAAAUAUUUCAAUUCGCCAUUGGAUAUCCAACUAAAUUGCCACGUUCCUGUUUAGAAAGAAUACUUUUGUCGAGUCUCUCCAUUACGAAUGUUAUAAUGGCAGGAUUAUUCGGAGGAUUAUUGUACAAAAGUUUUUCUAACGACAUUUAUUACAAGGAUAUAAAUUUAUUAUCAGAAUUGGAUGCAUCGGAAUUACCUAUCCUAUUCUUGAAAUACAAUUUAAACGACGUUUUUGGUGACGAAUCUACGGCAUCGUUGGUGUUCAAUAAUUUAAGAAAAAAAUUUAAAUACGGUGUACAGGCGCUGCAUGACGUGACAUGUUUUAGAAAUGCAAGUGGAUUGAUUAGGAAGAAACAUUUUUAUUUGGUGGAAAGAAAGAUGGUUAAUGAAGAUCUAUCGCCAAAAUUACAUCUCGUUAAAGAAUGCCCACGUAAUUACUACUUAGCAUAUCCCAUACCGAAGAAUUCGUAUUUGCUCGAAAAGUUGAAUCUCCUGAUUGGCAGAUUAAAUCAGGCAGGCUUAUUGACAUUGUGGAAUAAUCGUACUAUCAUGAAUUUCAUUAAUCAAAGAAGAGAAUCAUCGACAAAACAGACUCAUGCGGGAGACAAAUUUAUCCCGUUCAAUUUGGAAGACAUGCAGACGUCCUUCUAUUUGCUAAUAAUCGGUCUAUUACUUUCGUCGAUUGUGUUUUGUGAUGAGAAAGGGUGGCUGACAAGACACGUGAAAAAAAAAAAAGAAAAUUUACCCGAAGGGGAUUCAUCUAAAGGAAAAAGAAAUAUUCUAAGAUUUUCUCUAAAGAAAAAGCAAAAAAAGAAAGAAAGAAAUACAAGAAAAAUUUUCAUUUCAAACGUAAUUACGAAAUCCGAGAUAUCUUGUUCGAUCUGUUAAAUUUAUCGAUCAAAUCUAUUAGAAAUAUUUCUAAACUUUUAGCUAUAUACAUAUAUCGUAGAUUCGAUAAAUUAGAUUCGAAAUAUCUAUAAACUUUAUACGAUAUAUAAGUCACUUCAAUAACGUUCAGAAACGGUGUGAAUAAUAUCACAAUUUAAUAAUAUCGUAACUUUGAAAUUAUUUGAGUAUGGCUUGCAGCGAUUUCUAUAUUUGAGUUUUUCAAUAUUGAAUUAAUAAUAUGGCGAGAGGUCAAUGUACCACGUAUACCUUGAGUUUUCCAAAGUUUUGCGAUUUCCCAGCGUCAAUGCGUAGUAGUAGUAAGUGCACGUUCGUACGGCAAACAAAACUACAAGGUAAUGGGGGUUUAUUUUAAGAAUAUCUGAAAAUACGCUCAACACUAUUUCUCUCUGGCGUUAAGCUCAGUCGAGUGUCGUUGGUCGUUGA
Vespula pensylvanica (western yellowjacket) is the source of this 4443-nucleotide RNA transcript. RefSeq lists it as uncharacterized. Lineage: Eukaryota; Metazoa; Arthropoda; Insecta; Hymenoptera; Vespidae. The transcript has 6 exons. The record is from RefSeq and is a predicted model, not a curated record.